GUCGCUUUAGCUCAAUUGGGAGAGCGCCAGACUGAAGCUCCAAACUUCAGGACCUGUUAUCUGGAGGCACUGUGUUCGAUCCACAGAAGCGACA
Molecule: non-coding RNA, 94 nt
Organism: Pestalotiopsis sp. NC0098
Lineage: Eukaryota; Fungi; Ascomycota; Sordariomycetes; Amphisphaeriales; Sporocadaceae
Source: the annotation of a GenBank genome assembly